AUAUUGCACAAUGGAGGAAACUCUGAUGCAGCGACGCCGCGUGAACGAUGAAGGCUUUCGGGUCGUAAAGUUCUGUCCUAGUGGACGAUAAUGACGGUACCCUAGGAGGAAGCCCCGGCUAACUACGUGCCAUCCGCCGCGGUCAUACGUAGGGGGCAAGCGUUGUCCGGAUUUAUUGGGCGUAAAGGGUUCGCAGGCGGCCUUUUAAGUCGGGUGUGAAAGACUACAGGUCAACAGUGGUAAGCACUUGAAAAUGGAAGGCUUGAGUUAAGGAGAGGAAAGUGGAAGUACUAGUGUAGCGGUGAAAUGCGUAGAUAGUAGGAGGAAUACCAGUGGCGAAGGCGACUUUCUGGACUUAUACUGACGCUGAGGAACGAAAGCGUGGGGAGCAAACAGG
This 397-nucleotide ribosomal RNA is filed under the name uncultured bacterium. RNAcentral describes it as "partial 16S ribosomal RNA". It matches the Rfam family "Bacterial small subunit ribosomal RNA", at positions 361 to 776 of the family's 1533-position model. The record is from RNAcentral.